Long non-coding RNA from Sander lucioperca (pikeperch), 285 nucleotides. RefSeq lists it as uncharacterized. The transcript is spliced from 2 exons. The record is from RefSeq and is a predicted model, not a curated record. Lineage: Eukaryota; Metazoa; Chordata; Actinopteri; Perciformes; Percidae.
UUGUUUUUCUGAAGCGAAGGGAUUUUAAGAACGGCAACACACAGAAAGCGGAAGGUGAGGGACAUCACGCUCCGGAUGUCAGGCAAUUAUCCUGGAAACAUACUUCCGUUGAUCCAUACUACAGAGAUCUGGACUAUCUGCAUUUUCAUGACACUUUACAAAGAGAUUAAUAAACAAUAAUAGAGUUGUAUCAGCAAAGACUUGAAAAAUGGCAGAUGAUGUCAAACACCUGCCUUUGUAAAUAAACUUGUUAUAAUAUCCAAAGGAGAUUAGAUUAACAGGAAU